This 575-nucleotide ribosomal RNA is filed under the name Vishniacozyma victoriae. Its description in RNAcentral is "eukaryotic LSU rRNA". It matches the Rfam family "Eukaryotic large subunit ribosomal RNA", at positions 92 to 657 of the family's 3401-position model. The record is from RNAcentral. Lineage: Eukaryota; Fungi; Basidiomycota; Tremellomycetes; Tremellales; Bulleribasidiaceae.
AGUGAACCGGGAUGAGCUCAAAUUUAAAAUCUGGCGUCUUUCAGGCGUCCGAGUUGUAAUCUAUAGAGGCGUUUUCCGCGCCGGACCGCGUCCAAGUCUCUUGGAAUAGAGUAUCAAAGAGGGUGACAAUCCCGUACUUGACGCGACAACCGGUGCUCUGUGAUACGUUCUCAAUGAGUCGAGUUGUUUGGGAAUGCAGCUCUAAAUGGGUGGUAAAUUCCAUCUAAGGCUAAAUAUUGGCGAGAGACCGAUAGCGAACAAGUACCGUGAGGGAAAGAUGAAAAGCACUUUGGAAAGAGAGUUAAACAGCACGUGAAAUUGUUAAAAGGGAAACGAUUGAAGUCAGUCGUGUGAAAGGUAUUCAGCCGUCUCUGGCGGUGUAUUUGCCUUUCACGGGUCAACAUCAGUUUGAUCCGGUAGAAAAAGGCGGGAGGAAGGUGGCACCCUCGGGUGUGUUAUAGCCUCCUGUCAUAUGUGCCGGACCAGACUGAGGAACGCAGCUUGCCGCAAGGCCGGGGUUCGCCCACGUACAAGCUUAGGAUGUUGACAUAAUGGCUUUAAACGACCCGUCUUGA